Molecule: long non-coding RNA, 304 nt
Filed under: Elaeis guineensis (African oil palm)
Lineage: Eukaryota; Viridiplantae; Streptophyta; Magnoliopsida; Arecales; Arecaceae
Description: long non-coding RNA (EGUI_LNC012535)
Source: RNAcentral
AGGUCAAAGGGACACUUAUACUCAUAUCUUUCGCAAGCUACUCUUGACAGCAGAAUGCUCAGCGGUUGAUCACGUUCAAUAAAAUAUACUCCUACAUUUCACUUGUAUGCAGUACCAAUAUCUCUACACCUCUUGAUUAUGAGGACAAUUAAUGCAUAUGACAUACAACGAUUUAUACUUGAUAAUUGCUAUUAUUCUAGUAAUAACGUAUCAUUUGGUCGUGAACUUAUUUUAAGGAAUAAACGAUAUAUCUUCCUAUAUCGAUUAGGAUAGUCUUAAGGAUUUCAUCACAAUAUUGGAGUUC